UACGGAGGGUGCAAGCGUUGUCCGGAUUUAUUGGGUUUAAAGGGUGCGUAGGCGGCUUUUUAAGUCAGUGGUGAAAUUCUGCAGCUCAACUGUAAGGACUGCCAUUGAUACUGGGAAGCUUGAGUACAUACGAGGUAGGCGGAAUUGACGGUGUAGCGGUGAAAUGCAUAGAUAUCGUCAAGAACACCGAUUGCGAAGGCAGCUUACUAGAAUGUAACUGACGCUGAGGCACGAAAGUGCGGGGAUCAAACAGGAUUAGAUACCCUGGUAGUCCGCACUGUAAACGAUGAAGACUCGAUGUGUGCGAUAUACUGUACGCGUCCAAGUGAAAACGUUAAGUCUUCCACCUGGGGAGUACGCUCGCAAGAGUGAA
RNAcentral lists this ribosomal RNA (373 nucleotides) under uncultured bacterium. RNAcentral describes it as "bacterial SSU rRNA". It matches the Rfam family "Bacterial small subunit ribosomal RNA", at positions 524 to 898 of the family's 1533-position model. The record is from RNAcentral.